CCUGCCCUUCAGAGGGGGACAACAGUUGGAAACGACUGCUAAUACCGCAUACGAUCCGACCUCGGCAUCGAGGAUGGAUGAAAGGUGGCCUCUAUUUAUAAGCUAUCACUGAAGGAGGGGAUUGCGUCUGAUUAGCUAGUUGGAGGGGUAACGGCCCACCAAGGCAAUGAUCAGUAGCCGGUCUGAGAGGAUGAACGGCCACAUUGGGACUGAGACACGGCCCAG
Molecule: ribosomal RNA, 225 nt
Filed under: uncultured bacterium
Lineage: Bacteria
Description: partial 16S ribosomal RNA
Rfam family: Bacterial small subunit ribosomal RNA
Source: RNAcentral